Molecule: long non-coding RNA, 287 nt
Filed under: Ananas comosus (pineapple)
Lineage: Eukaryota; Viridiplantae; Streptophyta; Magnoliopsida; Poales; Bromeliaceae
Description: long non-coding RNA (ACOM_LNC016177)
Source: RNAcentral
UUUUUUUUUUUGAGAAAUAGGUAGCAAGCUACCUGCUUCAUUUAUUAAGUAAAAUGAAUUAGGCAUACAUGAUGGAAGCAACUAGGGCCGCCUGACCGAGCCGACAAAGCAGAAAAGCAGGAAAUGUGAAAAACAGGACCGUAAAACGGGAAGCGUAAAACCAAAUAAAACAAAACAGAACUAAACAAAACAGAGGGAAGCGAGGAAAACAAGGAUAAAAGGCGUAGUGAAAGAGAGUAAAGUUUUAGCUCAGAUUCCGAUAACGUCAGUCCAGUCUUUGAUGAGAG